Molecule: ribosomal RNA, 440 nt
Filed under: uncultured bacterium
Lineage: Bacteria
Description: bacterial SSU rRNA
Rfam family: Bacterial small subunit ribosomal RNA
Source: RNAcentral
CCUACGGGGGGCAGCAGUGGGGAAUUUUGCGCAAUGGGCGAAAGCCUGACGCAGCGACGCCGCGUGUGCGAUGAAGGCCUUUGGGUCGUAAAGCACUGUCAACCGGGACGAAAACUCGGCAGCUAAUACCUGUCGAGCUUGACGGUACCGGUGGAGGAAGCACCGGCUAACUCUGUGCCAGCAGCCGCGGUAAUACAGAGGGUGCAAACGUUGCUCGGAAUUAUUGGGCGUAAAGCGCGUGUAGGCGGUCCGCUAAGUCGACUGUGAAAGCCCAUGGCUCAACCAUGGAAGUGCGGUCGAUACUGGCAGACUGGAGUCCCGGAGAGGGUGGCGGAAUUCCCAGUGUAGAGGUGAAAUUCGUAGAUAUUGGGAGGAACACCGGUGGCGAAGGCGGCCACCUGGACGGGUACUGACGCUGAGACGCGAAAGCGUGGGGAGCA